Molecule: long non-coding RNA, 4365 nt
Organism: Mus musculus (house mouse)
Lineage: Eukaryota; Metazoa; Chordata; Mammalia; Rodentia; Muridae
Product: predicted gene, 40401
Exons: 5
Source: RefSeq, a predicted model, not a curated record
UUGCUGUGAUAAGACACCAAGACCAAGGCAACUUGCAGAACAAAGGGUUUAUUUGGACUUGUGGUUCCAGAGGGAUAGGAGUGCCUGGAAGCAAGCUGUCCGUGGCUGCCAGAGCAGCAAGCUGAGGGAGGGCUCACAUCUUGGAUUGAAAACACUGAACAGAGAGAGCAAACUAGAAAUGGCAUGGGUCCUUAAACUCUAGAAGCCUGCCCCCAGUGAAUGCUUCUUCUAACAAGGCCACAUCUUCUAAAUCUCCCCAAAUAGUUCCACCAACUGGGGACCAUAUGCUCAAAUAGAUGAGACUAUAAGGAACAAUUUCAUUCAAACCACCACAAUUUGUGUUUUGGAGGUUAUGUGCACAGGGGUACAGGUGCCAAGGGAAGCCAGAGAGAGCACGGGAUCUCCAGAAGUUAGAGUUACAGGUAGUUGUAAGCCACCCAAUGUGGGUGUUGAGAAUUGAACUUGAGUCCUUGAAAGAGCAGACAACACUAAGCCACCUCUUCAGUUCCUUAUUACAUUUUUUUCCCCUUGCUUGAUGUAUACCUAAGCCUUGAGAUUGCCAGGUCUACAAUGGCAAGAAGCACACCAGUCCCAGCAGUGCCUGCCUACACAGUUCACUUAACUCAUACUUUAUUCCAAGCAGCCGAAGUGGGUGUCUCCUAAGGAACCCAGGCUACAGAGUCUCCUGUGCAACUCAGGCUGGCCUCCAGCUUGUCAUCCUCCCUACUUCUGAUUCUCAAGUGCUGGGGACACAGCUCUUCAGGUACACAAGGCUUGUGAAGCAGUUCUGCAGAGCUGGGGAGCUGAGAAGCGUGCCUUCCUGGUAAAAGUCACUUCUGCAUGGAAUCGUCUGCAGUUUUCCCCAGAGUGAAGCCAUUUGGUGAGCUGGCUUAGCCUGCCCUGCCCGGCACAGAUCAUGUGCACUUAUGUUUGUGUAUGACCUUUUAUUGAGCACCCACUGUGUGCCACAGUGUGCCAGUGAUUUAAAAGACCAUGGCAGAUAUGUUAGAUUGGCCCACUCUGCCUUUCUCCCUUUCCUCCCUAUUAAAAUGUUUAUUUUAUAUUGUAUUUUGCAAUGCUGGGUAGAACCCACAGCUGCGUCCACAGUCGGGGAGCCAUCUACUACUGAAAUAUCCCCUUCCACAUUGCUUACCUUCCUCUUCUACACAGCCUGGAAAUCUGUGCUGUAACAUUCCCAGUGCUCUGAUGGCGAUCGCAUGAUACAAGUGAUGGUAUAUAAGCAAAAAUUCAUAAAAAGCAUUUCUUCCUAACUCAAAAGAGAAGGCUUUGAGAAGAGCAAACCCUGAUUUACGUUCCUGCCUUUCUCCUCCUGCCUGUAAUACAGAUGCGAUGCCUUGGCAGAUAGCAGCCAUUUUGCAACCACGAGGCAAGGCACUCCAUCAGGUAGGCUAAGGAUGGAGAGAAUGGAAGAUUCAGUCUAGCUCCUGGUGCAAGCCUGGUUUUCAUGGUAAAUACAAUCAGUAUUUCAAGACAUACCAUUGAAGGUGUUUCCCUAAUAUGGAUCAGGAAGGCUAGCUGAGCUUUCAGGGGAGCAACUCACUUGUUGUGUGGCUUUCCUACCCACACAUGACCUUCGUGCCAUGGCUAAGGGAUGGGCUGAACAACUGGACAGUCAGUCACACUGAUCCCUGACCCUUACCUGACUUGCCAGAACACGGAAUUCCAUCGUGUGACUCAUAGCCAGGCUCUCGGUGGCUAACCAGCCUGGUGGUGGUUUGCUCAGCCUCACAGAACAAUGUUUCCUUGUUUUAACUCCUGUGCUGUGCCUAAGACAUGAGAUCUGAUGCCGUGAAGAAGGUCAUGCCGGCUGCCUGCAGCCUGCCAGCUUUCAGACCAUGCUACUCAUCAGUUAGGAGUUAUCUCUUAUUUCAUCUUAUCAUUAUUCUAAAUUAUUUAUUUCUAUUUUUGGCUUUUUGUGUAUGAGGUUUCUGCUUCCAUGUAUGGAGUGCCCACAGAGGCCAGCAGAGGUCAUUGGAUCCUUUGGAACCAGAGUUACAGAUGGCUGUGAACUGCCAUGUGUCUAGUGAGAACUUAUCUCCGCUCUGCUGCAAGGACAAGUGCUCUUCGCCACUGGGCCGUCUCUCUGGCCCCUAUUUUGUUUUAAAAUUACAUAUACCUGAAGGUAUCUGUGUGUGCAUGUACACAUAAGUGCAGGUGCCUAUGGCAACCAGAAGAGGGCAGCAUAUCCCAGUGGAUUUGGAGCCUUCUGAAGUGGGUACUGGGAACAGAACUCUAGACCCUUUUAUGCACUAUUAAGUGUUGAGUCAAUUCUCCAGUCCUAAGAGUUAGAAGUUGGCAGAGAAGAAAUCUCUGACCCAUGUGCCUCUUGAUUUGUGAAUCAAGUAAAAUGGGCCGUGUGCAAAGGUCAGGCUGCACGGGGUACAGUGCUAUUCUAGCUGGAGAAGGGAAGUCUUCCAGGUUGUGGCUCAGGAGGACUAGGGGCUCUGGCCAGGUGGGGUGCAAAGGCAGGCGUGCAGAACUACAAAAGAAACACUGACUUUUCUUCUCAGAUCCCAGGAAACACAGUAAGUGCUCUUUCUCUGAAGCCUAUUGAAAGGCUGUUCCCACUAGUCAUCUCCACACCCUCCCCCCUGCCCUGCAUUCCUGCGCCCCUGUGCCCCCACGUGCAUGCCGUUGAAUCUGCCCCCAUUCCCACCUCACCCCACCCCACCCCUGUCUCUUGUCCAGCCUCCUGGCUGGGGCCUUAAAAACCAUUGCUUCUGAACUGCUGCCUCUCCCUCCAACUCCAGCCUGGCUUGGCUUUCCAAACCAAAACUUUCCCGUAAGCAAAGUUAUUUAAGGGUCCGUGAACACACAGGAAGCCCUUGGAUUGCAAACACAUGUGGAGCAAUGGAUCCAAUUACUCAGGCUGCGUCAGAGAGAGGCCCCUGCCUGAGCCAGGGAGGGGUGGGGACUUGUUUCUGACCUGGGCCAGCUUGGGAUGGGUUCAGGCUGGGAGAGAUUUCUAAUUCAGCUCUUGUGGUAAUGUCUUUCCUGCCGUCUCUCAGCAGGUGAAAACCAGGACACCCAUGGUCCUGAAACUGGCUGAUGCUGUUGGGUUCCCCUUGGUCUCCUCCAUGGUCUCCUUGUCUCUAAGUUCUGACAGAACUGCUUUGCUCAGAACCACCCAUUGGAGAGACUUCCUCCCUUGUAUCUAACUGCUUCCACAACCAUCUCAAACUCAGACAUGCUGCGUGGGUCUCUCUGGUUCUGUGCGGUUGCCGCAUGCCUGUCCCACCGAUGACACCAUCCCGUCUUGACGGCUGCAGCUCUCUAUUUUGAUAGCCUCCAGCAGAAGGCAUGACCCAGAUCUAGACUGUGUUCCUCACAGUCCAGAUCAAAGGCUUGUUGUCUUCCUGCCUCAAGAUCUGGAUCACAGCCUGACUGGAUCUUCAAUCAGCGGAGAGAUGAGCUGCUGGAGAAUUUUAUUAACCAGAUUAUUUGAAGGGGGGCAGCCUACCCUGAGUGAGAGUGGUACCGUUCUAUGGCAGUCUAGAUUACAGAGGGACAGAAGGCAGAGCUUUGCUGUUUUCCCAUGGCUUCACAUCUAACGGGUGAGUUGAGUUCACGUACUUCUGUUGCUUCCACUGCUGACACUGUCUGCACCCCGUCAGUGAUUUCAGAACCCAGCUCUGUUGACUGGAGGCUAGGCUCAGCCUUUCUGCUAUGUCGAUGGUGGCCGUUGGACUAUCCAAGACUGUAUCAUACAAGCUGAAUUGAUAAAUAGCCUCUGCAUCAAUUCCAUCAGCUCUGUUCUCCCAGAGAACCCCGAGUAGUACAGGAAUAAUAAUAACCCGACAAAACAGGACACGGGGAACUUGUUUACUGUCCUGCCUGUGAGGACACAGCCGGAGACUGCCAUCUGUGAAGCAGAGAGCAGCCAUCUCCAGACGUCUGCGGAAUCUGCUGGUGUUUUGAUCUUGUACUUCCCAGCCUCCCAGACCAUGAAAAAUGGAUUCCACCCUGGCCGAUGGGUUUUACUACAACAUCCCAAAUGAGCUGAGCCAAAGUCCUGACCGUGCUUUGUUACAGUUACACCCAAAAAGUUGUUGUUUUGUUUUGUUUUCAUUGAGUGACUGUAAAGAUGGCCGUUGUUUUGUUCAGGUGCCCAGGUAUUCUCCAGUAGCAGAUAGAAGCAUAAUGCAUUUAUUUUGCCACUUGAAACAUUGUUGGAGCCACAGGUUGGAAGAGUUUCAGAAGUUAUUACCACUACGUCAUGUGCAAAGCAGACUUCUCUCUUUUUCCUGUCAGAUACUUUUUGUCUUAUAUGUUGCUCUUGUAUUGAAUUGCCUCUAGUCCUGUGCUGGAAAAGAAUGAUGAGAGAAAAAUAUUUUUGUUGGGCUC